This 292-nucleotide ribosomal RNA is filed under the name uncultured bacterium. RNAcentral's name for it is "partial 16S ribosomal RNA". It matches the Rfam family "Bacterial small subunit ribosomal RNA", at positions 505 to 796 of the family's 1533-position model. The record is from RNAcentral.
GUGCCAGCCGCCGCGGUAAGACGAACUGUGCGAACGUUAUUCGGAAUCACUGGGCUUACAGGGUGCGUAGGCGGCUUGUUAAGUAGGGUGUGAAAUCCCCCGGCCCAACCGGGGAAUUGCGCUCUAAACUAGCAGGCUUGAGUGAGCUAGGGGUGCACGGAACUUCCAGUGGAGCGGUGAAAUGUGUUGAUAUUGGAAGGAACACCGGAGGCGAAAGCGGUGCACUGGGGCUUAACUGACGCUGAGGCACGAAAGCCAGGGGAGCGAACGGGAUUAGAAACCCUAGUAGUCC